GGGUUGUUAGCUCAGUUGGUAGAGCAGCGGACUCUUAAUCCGUCGGUCGAGAGUUCGAAUCUCUCACAACCCACCA
RNAcentral lists this transfer RNA (76 nucleotides) under Parahaemophilus parainfluenzae. RNAcentral's name for it is "Haemophilus parainfluenzae tRNA-Lys(ctt)". It matches the Rfam family "tRNA". From Rfam's summary of the family: Transfer RNA (tRNA) molecules are approximately 80 nucleotides in length. Their secondary structure includes four short double-helical elements and three loops (D, anti-codon, and T loops). Further hydrogen bonds mediate the characteristic L-shaped molecular structure. tRNAs have two regions of fundamental functional importance: the anti-codon, which is responsible for specific mRNA codon recognition, and the 3' end, to which the tRNAs corresponding amino acid is attached (by aminoacyl-tRNA synthetases). tRNAs cope with the degeneracy of the genetic code in two manners: having more than one tRNA (with a specific anti-codon) for a particular amino acid; and 'wobble' base-pairing, i.e. permitting non-standard base-pairing at the 3rd anti-codon position. RNAcentral also lists the same sequence under 1 other name. The record is from RNAcentral. Lineage: Bacteria; Pseudomonadati; Pseudomonadota; Gammaproteobacteria; Pasteurellales; Pasteurellaceae.